RNAcentral lists this ribosomal RNA (464 nucleotides) under uncultured bacterium. RNAcentral describes it as "partial 16S ribosomal RNA". It matches the Rfam family "Bacterial small subunit ribosomal RNA", at positions 28 to 506 of the family's 1533-position model. The record is from RNAcentral.
GACGAACGCUGGCGGCGUGCUUAACACAUGCGAGUCGUACGGUAAGGCCCUUUCGGGGGUACACGAGUGGCGAACGGGUGAGUAACACGUGAGUAACCUGCCCACAACUUUGGGAUAACGCUAGGAAACUGGUGCUAAUACUGGAUAUGUGCUCCUGCUGCAUGGUGGGGGUUGGAAAGCUCCGGCGGUUGUGGAUGGACUCGCGGCCUAUCAGCUUGUUGGUGGGGUAGUGGCCUACCAAGGCGGCGACGGGUAGCCGGCCUGAGAGGGUGACCGGCCACAUUGGGACUGAGAGAGGGCCCAGACCCCACCGGGGGGCAGCAGGGGGGAAUAUUGCACAAUGGGCGCAAGCCUGAUGCAGCAACGCCGCGUGCGGGAUGACGGCCUUCGGGUUGUAAACCGCUUUCAGCAGGGACGAAGCUUUUUUGGCCGGAACCUGCAAAAGAAGCACCGGCAAACUCGGG